UACGUAGGGUGCAAGCGUUGUCCGGAAUUAUUGGGCGUAAAGAGCUCGUAGGCGGUUUGUUGCGUCGGCUGUGAAAUCCCGAGGCUCAACCUCGGGUCUGCAGUCGAUACGAGCAAACUAGAGUGUUGCAGGGGAGACUGGAAUUCCUGGUGUAGCGGUGAAAUGCGUAGAUAUGUGGAGGAAUACCGAUGGCGAAGGCAGCCUCCUGGGCCAACACUGACGCUCAUGCACGAAAGCGUGGGGAGCAAACAGG
Molecule: ribosomal RNA, 253 nt
Filed under: uncultured bacterium
Lineage: Bacteria
Description: partial 16S ribosomal RNA
Rfam family: Bacterial small subunit ribosomal RNA
Source: RNAcentral